UCUUGGAACAAAUACCAUUAUGGA
RNAcentral lists this non-coding RNA (24 nucleotides) under Cricetulus griseus (Chinese hamster). The record is from RNAcentral. Lineage: Eukaryota; Metazoa; Chordata; Mammalia; Rodentia; Cricetidae.